This 76-nucleotide transfer RNA is filed under the name Chloroflexota bacterium. RNAcentral's name for it is "Chloroflexi bacterium (marine metagenome) tRNA-Val". It matches the Rfam family "tRNA". Rfam says of the family: Transfer RNA (tRNA) molecules are approximately 80 nucleotides in length. Lineage: Bacteria; Bacillati; Chloroflexota. The record is from RNAcentral.
AGGCGGUUAGCUCAACUGGCAGAGCGGGCGGCUUACAUCCGCCUGGCUGCGGGUUCAAGUCCUGCACCGCCUACCA